Bactrocera neohumeralis is the source of this 330-nucleotide long non-coding RNA. RefSeq lists it as uncharacterized. Lineage: Eukaryota; Metazoa; Arthropoda; Insecta; Diptera; Tephritidae. The transcript is spliced from 3 exons. The record is from RefSeq and is a predicted model, not a curated record.
UUUCGGGUUUACUUCGUUAUUAGUAUUAAUUGAGUGUAAUUCGCGAGUUAGCAGUCAAUCAUUCAGCAAUCGGAGCAAUUUAAUCGCAAGCGCAAUAAUGGAGCUAAUAUGUGGAAACCAAAGCUGGAUUUUUGCAUUUUUAAUGACUCUGAUUUAUUAAUGGCGACAAGAUGAUUAAGACAGCGUGAUAUCCAGUAAGCCAUGGCGGGCAACAGUUAUUGGGUGUUGGUGGGAAGUUUGCGGCUGGGAAACCGGACACUGUGGAAAACUGCUUUCGGCAGUUCCACACGCGCUUGGAAAUAUCGACGCCAACUCACAUACAUCUGUUGC